This 253-nucleotide ribosomal RNA is filed under the name uncultured bacterium. Its description in RNAcentral is "partial 16S ribosomal RNA". It matches the Rfam family "Bacterial small subunit ribosomal RNA", at positions 524 to 776 of the family's 1533-position model. The record is from RNAcentral.
UACGGAGGAUGCAAGCGUUAUCCGGAAUGAUUGGGCGUAAAGCGUCCGCAGGUGGCUAUGUAAGUCUGCUGUUAAAGAGUGAGGCUCAACCUCAUAAGAGCAGUGGAAACUACAUGGCUAGAGUGCGUUCGGGGCAGAGGGAAUUUCUGGUGUAGCGGUGAAAUGCGUAGAGAUCAGGAAGAACACCGGUGGCGAAAGCGCUCUGCUAGGCCGCAACUGACACUGAGGGACGAAAGCUAGGGGAGCGAAUGGG